UACAGAGGUCCCGAGCGUUGUUCGGAUUCAUUGGGCGUAAAGGGUGCGCAGGUGGCGUGGUAAGUCUGAUGUGAAAUCCCGGGGCUCAACUCCGGAACUGCAUUGGAUACUGCUCUGCUUGAGUACUGGAGAGGAGACUGGAAUUUACGGUGUAGCAGUGAAAUGCGUAGAGAUCGUAAGGAAGACCAGUGGCGAAGGCGAGUCUCUGGACAGUUACUGACACUGAGGCACGAAGGCCAGGGGAGCAAACGGG
This 253-nucleotide ribosomal RNA is filed under the name uncultured bacterium. RNAcentral describes it as "partial 16S ribosomal RNA". It matches the Rfam family "Bacterial small subunit ribosomal RNA", at positions 524 to 776 of the family's 1533-position model. The record is from RNAcentral.